This 253-nucleotide ribosomal RNA is filed under the name uncultured bacterium. RNAcentral describes it as "partial 16S ribosomal RNA". It matches the Rfam family "Bacterial small subunit ribosomal RNA", at positions 524 to 776 of the family's 1533-position model. The record is from RNAcentral.
UACGUAGGCCACAAGCGUUAUCCGGAUUUAUUGGGCGUAAAGCGUGUGUAGGGGGUUCGAUGCGUCUGCGGUUAAAGCCCACCGCCUAACGGUGGAAGUGCCGCGGAUACGAUCGAACUGGAGGGUGUUAGAGGUGCACGGAACACAUGGUGUAGGGGUGAAAUCCGUUGAUAUCAUGUGGAACACCGAAGGCGAAGGCAGUGCACUGGGACAUUCCUGACCCUGAGACACGAAAGCGUGGGGAGCAAAAAGG